UGUCCUUGGCCCACAUGUUGUUCAUCUGCAGAUACAGCGUGUUCUUGGAGUUAUCUCUGGAGAUGGGGAAUCGGCUCUUCACAGAGUCUGCAUAUCUUGUGCUACUUCCAUCAGUAUGAAGAUAUGCGAGCCACUGCAGCCCCUUUCCUGGAGCCUGGCGAACCCAGCUCAUUCCAUAGCUACUGAAGGUGAAUCCAGAGGCUACACAGAAUAUGGGACGCUCAUCAGGUCUUCAGAGAGCACCCAGUGCCACCUCACUGAGAAGGACCUUAUGACGAACUCCUAACCGACUACACUGCCAUCAGGAUUACGGAAAGAUUCCUCUGGAUUCACGCAAACUGCACAAAAUAGUUCCAGAUCGCCAUUGUCAAGACUGUGGAUGACCAUCCCCAUGAUGACCAUUGUGUCUGCAAAUGGCCUUGUUGGCAUACAGCCCAUGAAGAAACAUUUAUUCCAGAAAAUAUACUGACAGACGGAAAAGCUAGAAUUUUGAGCUAAG
Long non-coding RNA from Lynx canadensis (Canada lynx), 499 nucleotides. RefSeq lists it as uncharacterized. The record is from RefSeq and is a predicted model, not a curated record. Lineage: Eukaryota; Metazoa; Chordata; Mammalia; Carnivora; Felidae. The transcript is spliced from 3 exons.